This is a non-coding RNA of Danio rerio (zebrafish), 2749 nucleotides long. The record is from Ensembl. NCBI's taxonomy places the organism in Eukaryota, Metazoa, Chordata, Actinopteri, Cypriniformes, Danionidae.
UUUUGAUUUUCAGAAUUUUUAAAAGCUCUUGGUUACUGAACUUAUGCAAUUACUCAAUUUAAAUCUAAAAACAAAGACUGAUUAAACUUUUGGCAAACUACUAGUUGAUAAAACUAGUUCUUCUAACAGUCCUAAUACAGUGACAGUGUGAAUGCAAGAUGUCCCAAGUGUCUCUUGAAUGGAAGGCCAUUGGGGUCAAAUUAUCCAGCGUCAUAAUUUCCAUAACCUUGUCGGUCUGCAGCUCAGGACCGGAAUUUAAUCCUUAUAAGUGGCCAUUUACUUCUUAUUUACCUGCACAGCACUUCACUAGCUGGACUCCGUUACACUCACUCCCAUCCGGGUCAUGGCACCAACCCUGCCUGCCUGUUCAUUUAAUUUAUUAUAUAGCUGUUAUAUUUGCAUUGAUUUGUCAUUAUUUAGUAUUAGUGUUGCGAUAAGUUCUGGUUAGUUAUAAUGUAUGGAUGCCCAUCAUCAUUUUAAUCUGAAUGUCAACCUGUAUGUCCUGGCGAGUGACGCUAGGGGGCGAUUAGUGAGCAAUACAUGAGCCGCAGGAGGUUUCACGCAUUCUUAAGAAGUCACACAGCCAGUACUGAUACACUAAUAAUAUAUAACUAAAAUAUAACUCAUGUAAGUAAAUGAAAUAAGUGAUCUGUAACAAGUCUAUGGAUUAAGGAGUUCAGUGUGCAGUGGGGAGGAGCUGAACACGCAGCGUCAACUGUACAGUAGGUGGCGAUAUGCACAAAGAAUCCAAUUCGCCAAAGCUAAGUACUUCUCACAGCAUCUCUCUCUCUCUGCGUGUGUUUGGUAAUAUAACAGAUUUUGCAAUGUGACAAACAAUAAAUACAAUAUUAUGAUGCUACCAGAAAUCUCUGCCUCUUCUGUGUGUGCAACACAUUCGCCGAUGGGAAAUCUCCAUGAAGCAUUGUGAACAGAAGAACCCCAAGAGAAUAGACUGUCGCUGGUAUAGCUCGGUAACAUCCUCUUUCAUAAAACUCUGGCGGGAUGUAUGCUUCUGUGCCUGGAGGAGAGACGUUUAGUUUAAUCUCUGUGACAGCACCAUGUUGGUUAUAUAUACCAGAUGGGUUUCAGGUGUGCUUAUUAACCAGCUUUCAAAUUGUAUAUUAUGUACAUUCAUAACUAGUGUUGUCAAAAGUAUCGACUUUGGUACCAAUUGAUACUGACACUCAUCACAGUCAUAUUUGCUGAGCAUGUGAACACCAAUGGCCAAUCAGUGGUGUUUAACAGCGCUCAAAUGGACCUUUUUUAAGGUCACAACACUACUUAAAACACCUACAAGUAAAGUGACUGUAUGCUGAUUCCAUCGUGAAAUCUCCACACCCGAAGUCGAUCAGCUUGACCUCCAGCGUGUCUGGGUUCACAAGCAGGUUUUGCAGCUUUAUGUCCCGGUGGAAUACCCCACGGUAACAGCAAACAUUGGCAGCAUAAACGGCUUGCCACAGGAUGGUUUGUGCCGUUUUCUCGCUGAGGACGCCUCUGCCGAGUUGAAGGAGUGCCUCCAGAUCCAUGCUUGGCGUAGGCCGCUCCAUGACCAUGACGUAAUGGUUUGUAAAGACCUGCCAAUCGAGGAGCUGAAUGAUAUUCGGACACCUGGACCCACUGCUGGCCAUAUUUGCCAAGGUUAUUUCAAGAGGAAGUGGCUGGUCAAAAGACUAAAAACAAAAUAAUGUUGGUUUUCAAACAAGGGGUUUAGACCACAGCAUGUCGAUAAUAAAUAUAAGACAUUAUAAAUUGAACACAGCGACUGAGAAGGGAAAGAACAGAAAGUGUACUUUACUUACAGAGCGGAGACCUUGACUAUUUGGUGUCUUCUGGACAAAUUUAACAGCCACCUGUUUAAAGGAAUAAGCGAACAAUUAACAUGUGCUUGGAGAUCAUUUCAUUCCAGUCAUAAAUCCUGAACAGAGGUUUCGUCAAUUUGAAGUUGUCAGCAGAAAUGUCUAAACAAUAAAAGCUCUGAUGAUGCUCUGUACAUAGUGAACUUCAUCAAAGGUUUUGAGUCUACAAAAAUGAAUACCUGCGCCUCCAUCGCCGUGUGCGCGUUUUAAAGGCUAUUUACGGGUGCACCAGACCUGACGCGGGGACCGGAUCUCUGGACUAGGACUAGCUUUAAUCUCACCAAUUUUCAUAAUUCAAUUGCUAUGUCAAAUAUUUUAAAAUAUUUAGAUGUGUGUUCUGACGGUUGGAACGACGGGAGUGUUAAUAGUUAAUGACAGAAAGAAUUUUCAGUUUGAGUAAACAAUCCCUUAUGAAAAUUGGGAUUGUUGGCACAUUGGGGCACAAACUCUUUCUGAGGGGGCAAUGCCUCCCUUUGCCCCCCCCCGUAGCGCCGGGCCUGACUUCCUGCCUCUCCAGCUACAGUCCUGAUCACAUCACCACCAGGGGCGAUUUUCAUACUACUGUUGUAAAGAAACACUUGGACAUGUGAUUAUGACAUUUCAGGAACGUCUGGGACUGGGAAGUAAAAAACAUAAAUUUUUUUCCUGUGUUUGUAAUUUUCCCUCUCUGUUAUUUUAAUGAUGUAUUUUUAGUUUGUUAAUCAGAUUUGUCACAUCACACUAUUUUUUGUUUAUUUUAUUCGUUUUGUGGCUUUGCCAUUCAAUUUUAAAUACAAAUCUGUAAACUACAGUUCAAACAUUGAUAUGAUCCUGGAGUCAGUUUUUAUUAUAAAAAGUUUAUUUCAUAUUCAUUUAAUGUUGAAGAUAUGCACAGCUUUUUAAAUAAACUUGAA